RNAcentral lists this ribosomal RNA (503 nucleotides) under uncultured bacterium. Its description in RNAcentral is "bacterial SSU rRNA". It matches the Rfam family "Bacterial small subunit ribosomal RNA", at positions 29 to 523 of the family's 1533-position model. The record is from RNAcentral.
AUUGAACGCUGGCGGAAUGCUUUACACAUGCAAGUCGAGCGGCAGCGCGGGGGCAACCCUGGCGGCGAGCGGCGAACGGGUGAGUAACAUAUCGGAACGUACCCAGUCGUGGGGGAUAACUAUCCGAAAGGAUAGCUAAUACCGCAUACGACCUGAGGGUGAAAGGGGGGGAUCGCAAGACCUCUCGCGAUUGGAGCGGCCGAUAUCGGAUUAGCUAGUUGGUGAGGUAAAGGCUCACCAAGGCGACGAUCCGUAGCUGGUCUGAGAGGACGACCAGCCACACUGGAACUGAGACACGGUCCAGACUCCUACGGGAGGCAGCAGUGGGGAAUUUUGGACAAAGGGGGCAACCCUGAUCCAGCCAUUCCGCGUGAGUGAAGAAGGCCUCGGUGUAAGACGUCUUUCGGUCCAGGAACGAAACGGUAGAGCUCUAACAUAGCUUGCUAAUGACGGUACCUCGAAGAAGAAGACACCGGCUAACUACGUGCCAGCAGCCGCGGUAA